Molecule: ribosomal RNA, 497 nt
Filed under: uncultured bacterium
Lineage: Bacteria
Description: partial 16S ribosomal RNA
Rfam family: Bacterial small subunit ribosomal RNA
Source: RNAcentral
GACGAACGCUGGCGGCGUGCCUAAUACAUGCUAGUUGAGCGCUGAAGGUUGGUACUUGUCCCAACUGGAUGAGCAGCGAACGGGUGAGUAACGCGUGGGGAAUCUGCCUUUGAGCGGGGGACAACAUUUGGAAACGAAUGCUAAUACCGCAUAAAAACUUUAAACACAAGUUUUAAGUUUGAAAGAUGCAAUUGCAUCACUCAAAGAUGAUCCCGCGUUGUAUUAGCUAGUUGGUGAGGUAAAGGCUCACCAAGGCGAUGAUACAUAGCCGACCUGAGAGGGUGAUCGGCCACAUUGGGACUGAGACACGGCCCAAACUCCUACGGGAGGCAGCAGUAGGGAAUCUUCGGCAAUGGACGAAAGUCUGACCGAGCAACGCCGCGUGAGUGAAGAAGGUUUUCGGAUCGUAAAACUCUGUUGGUAGAGAAGAACGUUGGUGAGAGUGGAAAGCUCAUCAAGUGACGGUAACUACCCAGAAAGGGACGGCUAACUACGUG